This 254-nucleotide ribosomal RNA is filed under the name uncultured bacterium. RNAcentral describes it as "partial 16S ribosomal RNA". It matches the Rfam family "Bacterial small subunit ribosomal RNA", at positions 524 to 776 of the family's 1533-position model. The record is from RNAcentral.
CACGUAGGGUGCGAGCGUUGUCCGGAAUUAUUGGGCGUAAAGAGCUCGUAGGCGGUGUGUCGCGUCGGCCGUGAAAACCUGCAGCUUAACUGUGGGCUUGCGGUCGAUACGGGCAUCACUGGAGUUCGGCAGGGGAGACUGGAAUUCCUGGUGUAGCGGUGAAAUGCGCAGAUAUCAGGAGGAACACCGGUGGCGAAGGCGGAUCUCUGGGCCUGUUCUGACGCUGAGGCGCGAAAGCUAGGGGAGCGAACAGG